RNAcentral lists this ribosomal RNA (506 nucleotides) under uncultured bacterium. RNAcentral describes it as "bacterial SSU rRNA". It matches the Rfam family "Bacterial small subunit ribosomal RNA", at positions 18 to 518 of the family's 1533-position model. The record is from RNAcentral.
CCUGGCUUAGGAUGAACGCUAGCGACAGGCCUAACACAUGCAAGUCGAGGGGCAGCACAAGGAGCAAUCUGAGGUGGCGACCGGCGCACGGGUGAGUAACACGUAUGCAACCUGCCUGUAAGCGGGGAAUAACCCGUUGAAAGACGGACUAAUACCGCAUAAUACUAAAUUACUGCAUGGUAAUUUAUUUAAACAUUUAUGGCUUACAGAUGGGCAUGCGCAUGAUUAGCUAGUUGGAGAGGUAACGGCUCCCCAAGGCAACGAUCAUUAGGGGUUCUGAGAGGAAGGUCCCCCACACUGGUACUGAGACACGGACCAGACUCCUACGGGAGGCAGCAGUGAGGAAUAUUGGUCAAUGGACGAGAGUCUGAACCAGCCAAGUCGCGUGCAGGAAGAAUGUCCCUAUGGAUUGUAAACUGCUUUUGCAGGGGAAUAAAGUGCAUCACGUGUGAUGUUUUGUAUGUACUCUGCGAAUAAGGAUCGGCUAACUCCGUGCCAGCCGCGGC